GAUGAACGCUGGCGGCGUGCUUAAUACAUGCAAGUCGAGCGAACAGACGAGGCGCUUGCUCCUUUCACGUUUGCGGCGGACGGGAGUGAAACAUGUGUAUCCCAUACUUAUCUGUCUGGGAUAAUUUCGGGAAACCGGCGCAAACACCGGAUAAUAUCUUGAUCCGUAUGGUUCGAUAGUGAAAGUCGGCUUUGCUGUCACUAAUCGAUGGAUACGGGCUGCAUUAGCUAGUUGGUAAGGUCACGGCUUAUGAAGGCAACGAUGCGUAGACGACGUGAGGGGGUGAUCGGCCACACUAGAACGUGGACACGGACCAUGCGCCUGCGGGAGGCAGCAGUAGGGAAUCGGCCGCAAUAGGCGAAAGCAUGACGGAGCAACGCGGCGUGAGAGAUGAAGGUCUUCGGAGCGUAAAGCUCUGUUAUUAGGGAAGAACAAAUGUGGAAGGAACUAUGCACUGCUUGACGGUACCUAGUCAAAAAGCAACGGCUAACUACGUG
RNAcentral lists this ribosomal RNA (497 nucleotides) under uncultured bacterium. RNAcentral's name for it is "partial 16S ribosomal RNA". It matches the Rfam family "Bacterial small subunit ribosomal RNA", at positions 28 to 507 of the family's 1533-position model. The record is from RNAcentral.